This 449-nucleotide ribosomal RNA is filed under the name uncultured bacterium. RNAcentral's name for it is "partial 16S ribosomal RNA". It matches the Rfam family "Bacterial small subunit ribosomal RNA", at positions 29 to 523 of the family's 1533-position model. The record is from RNAcentral.
AGCGAACGCUGACGGCAGGCCUAACACAUGCAAGUCGAACGAACUCUUCGGAGUUAGUGGCGGACGGGUGAGUAACACGUGGGAACGUGCCUUUAGGUUCGGAAUAACUCAGGGAAACUUGUGCUAAUACCGACUGUGCCCUUCGGGGGAAAGAUUUAUCGCCUUUAGAGCGGCCCGCGUCUGAUUAGCUAGUUGGUGAGGUAAAGGCUCACCAAGGCGACGAUCAGUAGCUGGUCUGAGAGGAUGAUCAGCCACAUUGGGGCUGAGACACGGCCCAUACUCCUCCGGGAGGCAGCAGUGGGGAAUCUUGCGCAAUGGGCUAAAGCCUUACGCAGCCAUGCCGCGUGAAUGAUGAAGGUCUUAGGAUUGUAAAAUUCUUUCACCGGGGACGAUAAUGACGGUACCCGGAGAAGAAGCCCCGGCUAACUUCGUGCCAGCAGCCGCCGUAA